This is a long non-coding RNA of Cervus elaphus (red deer), 87 nucleotides long. RefSeq lists it as uncharacterized. NCBI's taxonomy places the organism in Eukaryota, Metazoa, Chordata, Mammalia, Artiodactyla, Cervidae. The record is from RefSeq and is a predicted model, not a curated record. The transcript is spliced from 3 exons.
ACUCCAGGAGAUGACUAGAUAGCAUCACUGACUCAAUGAACAUGAAUUUAAGCAAACUCUGAAAUAUAAUGGAAAACAGAAGAGCCU